CCCUUGUACACACCGCCCGUCACACCAUGGGAGUUGGUUGCAAAAGAAGUAGGUGGCUUAACCUUCGGGAGGGCGCUUACCACUUUGUGAUUCAUGACUGGGGUG
This 105-nucleotide ribosomal RNA is filed under the name uncultured bacterium. Its description in RNAcentral is "partial 16S ribosomal RNA". It matches the Rfam family "Bacterial small subunit ribosomal RNA", at positions 1378 to 1482 of the family's 1533-position model. The record is from RNAcentral.